AAUCAACGCUGGCGGCAUGCCUUAUACAUGCAAGUCGAACGCGAAAGGGGACUUCGGUUCCCGAGUAGAGUGGCGAACGGGUGAGUAACGCGUGGGUGAUCUACCCUUUUGUGGGGAAUAACCCGCCGAAAGGCGGGCUAAUACCGCAUAAUCCUGGAUAUUCGGUUAUUCAGGGAAAGGUUUUAAUCGCAGAAGGAGGAGCCCGCGUUCGACUAGCUAGUUGGUGAGGUAACGGCUCACCAAGGCGACGAUCGAUAGCCGGUCUGAGAGGACGGACGGCCACACUGGGACUGAGACACGGCCCAGACUCCUACGGGAGGCAGCAGUAGGGAAUUUUGGGCAAUGGGGGAAACCCUGACCCAGCAAUGCCGCGUGGAGGAUGAAGGUUUUCGGAUCGUAAACUCCUGUCCUGAGGGAAGAAGACAGUGACGGUACCUCAGGAGGAAGCCCCGGCUAACUCCGUG
Molecule: ribosomal RNA, 464 nt
Filed under: uncultured Acidobacteriota bacterium
Lineage: Bacteria; Pseudomonadati; Acidobacteriota
Description: bacterial SSU rRNA
Rfam family: Bacterial small subunit ribosomal RNA
Source: RNAcentral